This 292-nucleotide ribosomal RNA is filed under the name uncultured bacterium. Its description in RNAcentral is "partial 16S ribosomal RNA". It matches the Rfam family "Bacterial small subunit ribosomal RNA", at positions 505 to 796 of the family's 1533-position model. The record is from RNAcentral.
GUGCCAGCAGCCGCGGUAAUACGGAGGGUGCGAGCGUUAAUCGGAAUUAUUGGGCGUAAAGGGUGCGUAGGUGGUUUAUUAAGUUAGCUGUGAAAUUCCUGGGCUCAACCUGGGGUGGUCAGCUAAGACUGAUAGACUUGAGUAUAGGAGAGGGUAGUGGAAUUUCCGGUGUAGCGGUGAAAUGCGUAGAGAUCGGAAGGAACACCAGUGGCGAAGGCGGCUACCUGGCCUGAUACUGACACUGAGGCACGAAAGCGUGGGGAGCAAACAGGAUUAGAAACCCCUGUAGUCC